GUGCUCGCUUCGGCAGCACGUAUACUAAAAUUGGAAGUAUAUGGAGAAGAUUAGCAUGGCCCCUACUCAAGGACGACAGGCAAAUUCGUGAAGCGUUCCAUAUUUUU
Molecule: small nuclear RNA, 107 nt
Organism: Loxodonta africana (African savanna elephant)
Lineage: Eukaryota; Metazoa; Chordata; Mammalia; Proboscidea; Elephantidae
Source: Ensembl